CUCCGGUUGAUUUUUCCGGACCCGACUGCUAUCAGAGUGAGAUUAAGCGAUGCUUUUUAACGUAGCAAUACGUGGCGCACGGCUCAGUAACACGUAGUCAACAUGCCCAGAGGACGUGGAUAACCUCGGGAAACUGAGUCUAAACCGCGAUAAGUGAGGAUUUCUGGAAUGGUUCCUGACUAAAAUCUAUAUGGCCUCUGGAUUGGACUGCGGCCGAUCAGGCUGUUGGUGAGGUAAUGGCCCACCAAACCUGUAACCGGUACGGGCUCUGAGAGGAGGAGCCCGGAGAUGGGCACUGAGACAAGGGCCCAGGCCCUAUGGGGCGCAGCAGGCGCGAAACCUCUGCAAUAGGCGAAAGCCUGACAGGGUUACUCUGAGUGACUUUCGCUAAGAAAGUCUUUUGGCACCUCUAAAAAGGGUGCAGAAUAAGGGGUGGGCAAGUCUGGUGUCAGCCGCCGCGGUAAUACCAGCACCCCGAGUGGUCGGGACGAUUAUUGGGCCUAAAGCAUCCGUAGCCGGUUCUGCAAGUCUUCCGUUAAAUCCAGCCGCUCAACGGAUGGGCCGCGGAGGAUACUACAGGACUAGGAGGCGGGAGAGGCAAGCGGUACUCAGUGGGUAGGGGUAAAAUCCUUUGAUCCAUUGAAGACCACCAGUGGCGAAGGCGGCUUGCCAGAACGCGCUCGACGGUGAGGGAUGAAAGCUGGGGGAGCAAACCGGAUUAGAUACCCGGGUAGUCCCAGCUGUAAACGAUGCAGACUCGGUGAUGGGCUAGCCUUGUGCCAGCCCAGUGCCGCAGGGAAGCCGUUAAGUCUGCCGCCUGGGGAGCACGGUCGCAAGACUGAAACUUAAAGGAAUUGGGGGGGGGGAACC
Molecule: ribosomal RNA, 870 nt
Filed under: uncultured archaeon
Lineage: Archaea
Description: bacterial SSU rRNA
Rfam family: Archaeal small subunit ribosomal RNA
Source: RNAcentral